This 91-nucleotide transfer RNA is filed under the name Kitasatospora gansuensis. Its description in RNAcentral is "tRNA-Ser". The record is from RNAcentral. Lineage: Bacteria; Bacillati; Actinomycetota; Actinomycetes; Kitasatosporales; Streptomycetaceae.
GGGGAAGGGCAGAGUAAGGCAGUGAAGACCAGGUGAGUUCUUCGGAGGACUCAUAAUCCCUUGGUCGUGGGUUCGAGUCCCACCCGCCCCA